UCCCUCCCACUGUGUCCUUUGUUAUCUGUGCUCCUCAAAUAUCAUUGGAGGGGUGCAGAUAACAAAGGACCCGGAAGGAGGGA
Molecule: non-coding RNA, 83 nt
Organism: Podarcis lilfordi (Lilford's wall lizard)
Lineage: Eukaryota; Metazoa; Chordata; Lepidosauria; Squamata; Lacertidae
Source: the annotation of a GenBank genome assembly